AGAGUUUGAUCCUGGCUGAGAACGAACGCUGGCGGCAGGCCUAACACAUGCAAGUCGAGCGCUACCUUCGGGUGGAGCGGCGGACGGGUUAGUAACGCGUGGGAAUAUACCCAGUUCUAAGGAAUAGCCACUGGAAACGGUGAGUAAUACCUUAUACGCCCUUCGGGGGAAAGAUUUAUCGGAAUUGGAUUAGCCCGCGUUAGAUUAGAUAGUUGGUGGGGUAAUGGCCUACCAAGGCGACGAUCGAUAGCUGGUCUGAGAGGAUGAUCAGCCACACUGGGACUGAGACACGGCCCAGACUCCUACGGGAGGCAGCAGUGGGGAAUAUUGGACAAUGGGGGCAACCCUGAUCCAGCAAUGCCGCGUGUGUGAUGAAGGCCCUAGGGUCGUAAAGCUCUUUCAACUGUGAAGAUAAUGACGGUAGCAGUAGAAGAAACCCCGGCUAACUCCGUGCCAGCAGCCGCGGUAAUACGGAGGGGGUUAGCGUUGUUCGGAAUUACUGGGCGUAAAGCGUACGUAGGCGGAUUAAUAAGUUAGAGGUGAAAUCCCAGGGCUCAACCCUGGAACUGCCUUUAAAACUGUUAGUCUUGAGAUCGAGAGAGGUGAGUGGAAUUCCAAGUGUAGAGGUGAAAU
Molecule: ribosomal RNA, 633 nt
Filed under: uncultured bacterium
Lineage: Bacteria
Description: bacterial SSU rRNA
Rfam family: Bacterial small subunit ribosomal RNA
Source: RNAcentral